AAAAGGAUUGCUUGCUCAAUUGCUAGUUAAAGUUGAAUCCAAAUGAUCCAUAAAUUUACAACAGUAGGAAAUACUUAAACUAAUAACUGUUGUUCUAAGCUUCUUCAUACUUCAUUUCUCAUGAAAGAAGAAAAUUGAUGUUGCAGCAGCAACCUACCUCCCCCCCUCUCCAACAAGCACAGAUGAACUCUAGUACUUACUAGUAAAAAGAUGAAACCUUUGUGUCCGUGGCGUCGCCAAAUCACACAGAUGGGAAAUACUUGUUCAGAUUGAAAGGGAGGGAGUAGAAUUCCUCACUUCUCGUGUCAGUCUUGAAGGACUUGAAUUUGUCCCACCAGUGCUUGCCUCUGUCCUUUCUUGUCUGGCCAUCCUUUUUGUGCAUUGUGUUGUCCAGGAAAAAGGCAACGAUACCCGCCACAAAAGCUUUUGAUUGAAAGGGAACGUUGGCCAUGUCGUUGAACCAUCUUGCAUGUGUGUGAACAGGUCCAUAACCAGCAACAGCAGUAUACUCAUUGAAGUACUGUGGAAUGGACAAGCCAAGAAAGACGGAGAAACCUAAUAUAAACUUGGUGCGGAAACUAUUAAGAUUGCAGAACUGAAGAAAACCUAAGCCUCCAGCGCCUACAUAAGCGAAGAAAAGGCAAUAUAAAGCACCAACAAUAGGUGCAGGAAUUGAAGCAAAGACAGCUCCAAAUUUCCCGAGAAUUGAAAAGAAAAUCAUGAACGCAGCAGAUAUCUGAACAACUCUUCUACUGCCAACACGUGUCAAUGCUAAUAGACCAGCAUUCUCCACGGAUACAG
This 801-nucleotide unclassified non-coding RNA is filed under the name Hevea brasiliensis (rubber tree). Lineage: Eukaryota; Viridiplantae; Streptophyta; Magnoliopsida; Malpighiales; Euphorbiaceae. The record is from RNAcentral.